This 371-nucleotide long non-coding RNA is filed under the name Olea europaea (common olive). RNAcentral describes it as "long non-coding RNA (OEUR_LNC013313)". Lineage: Eukaryota; Viridiplantae; Streptophyta; Magnoliopsida; Lamiales; Oleaceae. The record is from RNAcentral.
CAACAAAACAUCCAGAAGCCGUACGAACGAAUUGGGAGGCAAAAACAUUCAUCUUGGAGUGGAUUUGAAGGUAAGAACAAGAAUUGAUGCGAGAUUUACAAGAUUUCUUCAAGUUUUGAUAACCCGGUGAUGUAUUUUAUUCAUACUUUGUUAGAUUUCAUUAUUUUUAUCAUGAUAGGCUAGAUUUCUGCAACUAGGUGAUCGAUGAACCAUGUAAUUAUUAUUGAACUUGUUAUUUCAUGAUUUUGAAUUAUUAGUUCAAUAGGAUAUUUGAAUGGAUUAUAUUGCUUUGUUUAUUUCCACAAUUAAUGUGCACUUAAUUUGUGUCAACUUGGUGGUUUAAUUCUAAAUUUGAGAAAAUUAGAUUAAAC